Molecule: ribosomal RNA, 403 nt
Filed under: uncultured bacterium
Lineage: Bacteria
Description: partial 16S ribosomal RNA
Rfam family: Bacterial small subunit ribosomal RNA
Source: RNAcentral
GACGAACGCUGGCGGCGUGCCUAAUACAUGCAAGUCGAACGCAGUGGGGACGGGUGAGUACCACGUGGGUAACCUCCCAUCAGAGGGGAUAACACUUGGAAACAGGUGCUAAACCGAUACUGAUGGAUGGACCCGCGGUGCAUUAGCUAGUUGGUGAGGUAACGGCUCACCAAGGCCACGAUGCAUAGCCGACCUGAGAGGGUGUGAGGCAACCGGGGGACUGAGACACGGCCCAGACUCCAACGGGCGGCAGAAGUAGGGAAUCUUCGGCAAUGGACGAAAGUCUGACCGAGAAACGCCGCGUGAUUGAAGAAGGUUUUCGGAUCGUAAAACUCUGUUGUUAGAGAAGCGGUAUCUAACCAGAAAGCCACGGCUAACUACGGGCCAGCAGCCGCGGUAAUUC